This 455-nucleotide ribosomal RNA is filed under the name uncultured bacterium. RNAcentral's name for it is "bacterial SSU rRNA". It matches the Rfam family "Bacterial small subunit ribosomal RNA", at positions 356 to 803 of the family's 1533-position model. The record is from RNAcentral.
GGGGAAUUUUGGACAAUGGGGGAAACCCUGAUCCAGCCAUGCCGCGUGCGGGAUGAAGGCCUUCGGGUUGUAAACCGCUUUUGUCAGAGACGAAAAGGGACGUACGAAUAAUACGUUCCGCUGACGGUAUCUGAAGAAUAAGCACCGGCUAACUACGUGCCAGCAGCCGCGGUAAUACGUAGGGUGCAAGCGUUAAUCGGAAUUACUGGGCGUAAAGGGUGCGCAGGCGGCUGUGCAAGACAGAUGUGAAAUCCCCGGGCUUAACCUGGGAACUGCAUUUGUGACUGCACGGCUAGAGUUUGUCAGAGGAGGGUGGAAUUCCGCGUGUAGCAGUGAAAUGCGUAGAUAUGCGGAAGAACACCAAUGGCGAAGGCAGCCCUCUGGGACAUGACUGACGCUCAUGCACGAAAGCGUGGGGAGCAAACAGGAUUAGAUACCCUGGUAGUCCACGCCCU